GUCUGGUUGUAAAAAUAAUCAGUCUAGUCUGCCCACUGAGAAAAUUAAAGGGCCGCAGUAUUUUGACUGUGCGAAGGUAGCAUAAUCAUUAGUUUUUUAAUUGGAAACUGGAAUGAAAGGCUGGACAAGAGGUUUACUGUCUUAACUUUGAAAAUAAAACUUAACUUUUAAGUGAAAAGGCUUAAAUAUUUCUUAGAGACGAUAAGACCCUAUAAAACUUUACAUAAGAGUUAAUAAAUUUUAAUUUAUUUGUAAAAAAAGAUUUUUUAAUUAUAUGUUUCAUUGGGGCGAUGAAAGUAUAAUAUUUAACUGCUUUUAUUUAAUAACAAAAAUUUUUGACAUUACUAAGAUCCUAAUUAAAGAACUAAGAAAAAGUUACUUUAGGGAUAACAGCGUAAUUUUUUUUGAGAGCUCUUAUCGACAAAAAAGUUUGCGACCUCGAUGUUGAAUUAAAAUACCUUUAUAAUGUAGCAGUUAUAUGAGUAGGUCUGUUCGACCUUUAAAAUUUUACAUGAUUUGAGUUCAAACCGGUGUAAG
Molecule: ribosomal RNA, 537 nt
Filed under: Calaxiopsis sp. RR-2008
Lineage: Eukaryota; Metazoa; Arthropoda; Malacostraca; Decapoda; Axiidae
Description: partial 16S ribosomal RNA
Rfam family: Archaeal large subunit ribosomal RNA
Source: RNAcentral